Molecule: long non-coding RNA, 609 nt
Organism: Strongylocentrotus purpuratus (purple sea urchin)
Lineage: Eukaryota; Metazoa; Echinodermata; Echinoidea; Camarodonta; Strongylocentrotidae
Exons: 3
Source: RefSeq, a predicted model, not a curated record
AAAAGUAAUGUCGCACGCGUUAUCCAUUUCGACGCUUCUAAUUGGCUACAUUCUUGAACCCAUUUUAUAAUUUUAAGAGAGGCAUUAGUUGAUAUAUUGUAGUGGUGUUGGCGCGGGGAAGCACAUCACUAAUUUCGUUGCCGUAGGAGAGUCAAAACGAGUUUGAUAAUUUGUGCAAGUUGGAUCGAAAGGUGACGUCUAUACAACAUGUCUGACAAACCAACGUCUGGACCCAAAUAUAAUGAACCACAACGGCAUGGUUCCAGUGGCAGAUUUGGUCUGAUACCAUUCCGAGGAGUAGUCACUUUUGUGAUCAUCCCGUGGCUUUUAAUCAUGGUGUCCUUUUACAUCAUUGAGACAUUCUGGCGCGCAUAGGAUCACGGACAAGUUCAACCUGUGCGUGCCAACAGGAUCUAUAGCAUGACGACUCAAAGGAUGCUAUAUAUAGUAGUUCAAUUAUGUCAAUUAUGUGUUGUACCUAAAAUGUAUCCUUCUGAAUUGAACUAGAGUCGAUUUUAUUUUCCCAUAAUUAUUACGUGUUUAAUUUUUCUGUAUAAAAUGAUAUCUUUCAGAUCUCCAGAGUAAAUGAAAAAUGGUAGUCCAUCUUCA